RNAcentral lists this ribosomal RNA (374 nucleotides) under uncultured bacterium. Its description in RNAcentral is "bacterial SSU rRNA". It matches the Rfam family "Bacterial small subunit ribosomal RNA", at positions 100 to 514 of the family's 1533-position model. The record is from RNAcentral.
UUGCGAUAACGCGUGGGAAUCUACCCUUUGCUACGGAAUAACUCAGAGAAAUUUGUGCUAAUACCGUAUGAUGUCGAAAGACCAAAGAUUUAUCGGCAAAGGACGAGCCCGCGUAGGAUUAGCUAGUUGGUGUGGUAAAGGCGCACCAAGGCGACGAUCCUUAGCUGGUCUGAGAGGAUGAUCAGCCACACUGGGACUGAGACACGGCCCAGACUCCUACGGGAGGCAGCAGUGGGGAAUAUUGGACAAUGGGCGAAAGCCUGAUCCAGCAAUGCCGCGUGAGUGAUGAAGGCCUUAGGGUUGUAAAGCUCUUUUACCAGGGAUGAUAAUGACAGUACCUGGAGAAUAAGCUCCGGCUAACUCCGUGCCAGCAG